CACAGGCUUGGUCCUAACCUUUUUAUUGGGUUUUACUUAACUUACACAUGCAAGUCUCCGCACCCCGGUGAGAACGCCCUUUUCAUCCUUAUGGACAUAGGAGCCGGUAUCAGGCACAUUAACCUGCCCAAGACACCUAGCUUUGCCACACCCACAACGGGUACUCAGCAGUGAUUAACAUUAAAAAUUAGCGCCAGCUAGACUUAGUUACAGUAAACAGGGCCGGCAAACCUGGUGCCAGCCGCCGCGGCUAUACCACGGGGCCCAACUCAAUAAACAUCGGCGUAAAGCGUGAUUAAAGCAACCCCUACACUAGAGUUAAACCACGGCUAGGCUGUGAUAAGUCUGCCCCCCGGAAAUCCUGAAACGAAAGUUACUCUAACCCCCAACCACUUGAACUCACGACAGCUAAGACACAAACUGAGAUUAGAUACCUCACUAUGCUCAGCCGUAAACCUUUCACUUACACCCUCCUCGCCCGGGCACUACGAGCCCAAACUUAAAACCCAAAGGACUUGACGGUGCCCCAUAUCCACCUAGAGGAGCCUGUCCUAUAAUCGAUGAUCCCCGUUUAACCUCACCACUUCUAGCCUACCAGCCUGUAUACCUCCGUCGUCAGCUCACCGCAUGAGCGCACUAUAGUGAGCACAAUGGAACCCUCCAAAACGUCAGGUCAAGGUGCAGCAAAUGAAGUGGCCAGAGAUGGGCUACAUUUUCUUAUAUAGAAAAUCACGGAAGACUAUUAUGAAACCCCGUCAGAAGGCGGAUUUAGCAGUAAAGCAGAAACCAGAAAGUUCUCUUUAACAAGGCACAGGGGCAUGUACACACCGCCCGUCGCCCUCUUCAACAACAUACAUAAAGUUCAUUACCUAACACAAAUAAAAAGAAGAGGUAAGUCGUAACAUGGUAAGCAUACCGGAAGGUGUGCUUGGAA
This 934-nucleotide non-coding RNA is filed under the name Crinia signifera. RNAcentral describes it as "12S ribosomal RNA". It matches the Rfam family "Bacterial small subunit ribosomal RNA". Lineage: Eukaryota; Metazoa; Chordata; Amphibia; Anura; Myobatrachidae. The record is from RNAcentral.